This is a long non-coding RNA of Lycium ferocissimum, 538 nucleotides long. RefSeq lists it as uncharacterized. The transcript has 3 exons. The record is from RefSeq and is a predicted model, not a curated record. NCBI's taxonomy places the organism in Eukaryota, Viridiplantae, Streptophyta, Magnoliopsida, Solanales, Solanaceae.
CCCCUACCUCCCCUUUCCCUUUCCUUCCCACACCAAACCCAAGCCGCGUCACUCAUGUCUCUCUCUCCUCAUCACCACCGAGUUUUUGGCAAAGUUUCAGAUGAGAAAAAGUCUUUGACAGGUCUGUAUGGCCAUUUGAAGCAAAGCAUUUAUGGUUUCCACUCCAUUUCACCAAACGCCACCCAAACGCGUUUGGUGAUUUUGAGAAGCGAAGGAUCUUCAAGGUUCAUUCUCGACUCAAGGCUGCACCACAAAGAGAUCCAAUUAUCUUAUUCGAUCAAGUCCGUGUGAGAAAAAUGGCAAGGGAAGCUAAUAUAUAUUGAAGGCCCAACCAUGGAUGAAAAUGAUGAAGGCCCAACUAUGGGUGAAAAUAGCAAAUUGGUGGGCUUAGGUAGGCCCACUAGCUUAAACUUCCUUGUUACAUUCAUUAUUUGUGUAAAAAUUAUAUUUUUAAAACGCUUGAUGAUUAUUGGAACCCAUUGUAUCUGUUAGAACUUAGGAAAACACUCAGUAAUUUAGGUAAGUCGUCAAAACAAAU